RNAcentral lists this ribosomal RNA (482 nucleotides) under uncultured bacterium. Its description in RNAcentral is "partial 16S ribosomal RNA". It matches the Rfam family "Bacterial small subunit ribosomal RNA", at positions 30 to 507 of the family's 1533-position model. The record is from RNAcentral.
AUUGAACGCUGGCGGCAUGCUUUACACAUGCAAGUCGAACGGCCGCUCUGUGCAACCUGUCGGCGCGUCGCGCACUGGUGCUUACUACAUCGGAACUUACCCAUAAGUGACGUAUCACGUAGCGGAAGUUACGCUUAUACCGCAUUCGCUCUUCGGACGAAAUUUUGGGUCUUUCGUGCCUCAUACUUUUGAAGCGCCCUAUGUCUGCUUAGCUAGUUGCUGAGGUAAAGGCUAACCAAGGCGACGAUCAGUAGCUAGUCUGAGAGGACGACCAGCCACACUGGGACUGAGACACGGCCCAGACUCCUACGGGAGGCAGCAGUGGGGAAUUUUGGAAAAUGGGCGCAAGCCUGAUCAAGCAAGGCCGCGUGAGGGAAGAAGGCCUUCGGGUUGUAAAGCUCUUUUGUAAGGGAAGAAACGUGUGAGGAUAAAAACUUCGGCUAAUGACGGUACCUGAAGAAUAAGCACCGGCUAACUACGUG